RNAcentral lists this transfer RNA (550 nucleotides) under uncultured Prochlorococcus sp. Its description in RNAcentral is "partial 16S-23S ribosomal RNA intergenic spacer". The stretch from base 210 to 282 matches the Rfam family "tRNA". Lineage: Bacteria; Bacillati; Cyanobacteriota; Cyanophyceae; Synechococcales; Prochlorococcaceae. The record is from RNAcentral.
CAGGGAGACAACAAAAUGUAAAUAUUAAUUUUGUCACCUUAGGUCGAUCGGUAUCUCAGAUUCUUAUUAUUUAAGAAUUUCAGUUUCUAAGUUUUUUCUAGGUCACACCCAUCACUUUUUCCUGGGCCAUUAGCUCAGGUGGUUAGAGCGCACCCCUGAUAAGGGUGAGGUCCCUGGUUCAAGUCCAGGAUGGCCCAUAUCUCUAUGUUGGGGGUAUAGCUCAGUUGGUAGAGCGCCUGCUUUGCAAGCAGGAUGUCAGCGGUUCGAGUCCGCUUACCUCCACUGAAUACCACCUCUUACAUAUAGUUGAAGUGGGAAAUUGUUUUGAGUCGGGUCCUAAUUUGCUCUGAGCGAAUCUAGCUUCCUAUUUUAUCCAAGAAAUAAAAUGCUGGACUCAUUGAAUUUUUUUUCUUUGUUUUCAAAGAACCUUGACAACUGUAUAUAUUAUUUUUAAAGACAAUAANCAUCUUUAAUGAUGCAUAUUUAUUAUUUGUGCGAAUGCAUUAAAUAACAAUUCUAUUAAGCUGAUGCUUCAAUUAUUGAAGUUAUU